UGGAGUAGAGAAAUAAUUGAAGUUUUAUUAGACUGGUAGUUGGGCAGAUCAUCGACAAUGAGCUACAACGUAAGGUUUUAACUCUUGCAAUGCUAUAAAUAAAAAUGUCUAGGAGUACAGAAAUUUCAAGAUGAGAUUAAAAAUUCAUCAAACAAAAUAUGUUAAAAGCAGCAUUAUGUUUGCAUAUCUUUUCUAAGGAGUUGCGAGUAGUGUUUGAAAUAAUUUGUGACCACCGCACCAUUUAAUCUAGCUUGAUGGAUAUUUAGCAACAUAACUUCGUAUUACUUCGUUAGUGGAUGAAUUGGACACGACGGUGGUAUGAUAAGCUGAUCAUAAUUUACAGAAUCCAAUUCAAGCACACCGCUAGUUUUGAGUGGUCUAAUUUUGUUAAGUAAUUUGUAGUUAAAGAUGAUUUGGGGUUUCAGAUAGUUAAUUUUUUUUAUUAAGUUAGUUAUAUUUCCAGGUUUCCAAGGAACGGUAAAAGCUUGUGUAUAUGAACCAGAGGGGGUCAUAUCUCUCUGAUGAUGAAGAAAACAUUAAAACACUCAAUAGAUUGAUGGAGAAUCGGUGGUCGUCGAUUGAGAGCAGAACGCCGGGGCGAGCGGAUAACGAGAUCAAAAACAAUUGGAGUACACAUUUGAGCAAGAAAGUCGCCAAAAAAGACACCAAAUGCACCAACCAAUGCUAUAUACGUUGUUUUGGUCAAGCCACUCAUCUACAGCACUCGUCUGAUCAGAAUGAGCAAGUGUACAGUGAACCAGAAAGAGGAAGGUCAUUAAUGGAUAAUAUUCUAUCCAUAAAUGAAUACAUGGGUUCAGCAGAGUCCUCUGGACAUUCUUUAUUCGCUGUCAAAGAUCAGACCAGUUUUUUGUAUGAAGAAAUUCAGAGCUUUCUCGUAGAAUAUAUCUUCCAACUGGGCAACUGCAAAUUACAAACAGCUCAAUGGAUGUGGAGGAGCUGUAGUACCUGAUGUUUCACUCAGUAUGGAGCAAAUAAGAGAUAUAAACAAUGAUGCUAACACCAUCUAUCGUGUUGAAUCUAUUCCAAUUUCAUCUUCGUUAUAGUCAGGAUUAAUACCCAAUUUUUACUGCUCAUGCCCGUUUAAUAUGAUUUCAAAUGGACAAAGGUUCCCGUAUAAUGGAGAAGAGAUUUCAAACAA
This is a long non-coding RNA of Cryptomeria japonica (Japanese cedar), 1159 nucleotides long. RefSeq lists it as uncharacterized. NCBI's taxonomy places the organism in Eukaryota, Viridiplantae, Streptophyta, Pinopsida, Cupressales, Cupressaceae. The record is from RefSeq and is a predicted model, not a curated record. The transcript is spliced from 2 exons.